Prunus persica (peach) is the source of this 462-nucleotide long non-coding RNA. RefSeq lists it as uncharacterized. The record is from RefSeq and is a predicted model, not a curated record. The transcript is spliced from 3 exons. Lineage: Eukaryota; Viridiplantae; Streptophyta; Magnoliopsida; Rosales; Rosaceae.
AGCAGAUUACAGAAAAAUGAAAAAAAAUGCAUUUAUUAUAAGACUGUUGUAAUUGACAUUGAGAGAAGAGAGAUUAGGAAAGGCAGAGAAGUCAAACCUGUUGAGUGUUCCAUCAAGGCCAGAAUCCACCAAAUUUAUUUCAACAAUGCUGCCAGCUUCAUUGCACUGAAUUCCAGUCCAGUUGCAAGGGCUGCUUCUGCUGCUAGUGAGAGUCCAUGAUGUUAAAGAAGAAGAGCUUAAACUGAUUUUCCAGUUUAGCAGAGCUUCUGCUUCAGUUUGUGCAUGGAUUGCUCAGAAAAAGCCCCAGCGUCAGCGCCAAACACCGGCAACUACUCAGAAAAUGCCCCCUGCUUCUCCCAUCCCCGUCGACACCAACUCCGUUUCAAAAAGGCUUCAGAAGGAGUUGAUGUCUCUGAUGUCUUCAGUCCUUCUUCCAGUUGUGAUGACUCUUAUAGCAACACG